Molecule: long non-coding RNA, 14063 nt
Filed under: Homo sapiens (human)
Lineage: Eukaryota; Metazoa; Chordata; Mammalia; Primates; Hominidae
Description: non-protein coding KLF3-AS1:19
Source: RNAcentral
CCUUUCUCCAAACAACGUUGCCACACGCGGAGAGCACGGAGAUUUCUGGGGCUUUGGAGGGAAUCGUGAGCGGGCGGGAGGAGGCCGGGGACCACACAGAGAAUAACUUGUCUGACUACCAGUAUUCUUGGAUGCAGAAGUGCUGAAGAUGAGCACACACACGUACGGAGAAUUUCUGGAGAAUUCAGCUGCUCAGAACAAGAACUGAGAUCCAGAGAGAUGAUGACUUUGCCCAUAGACCAAACAAAGAAAUACAUGUUUCAGUCCUGUGUCCUCCUGCUAUGUGUGUCCGGAAUUGGUGGGUUCUUGGUCUCACUGACUUCAAGAAUGAAGCUGCGGACCCUCGCGGACCGUGUGUGAAUGCCUGCUCUGUGAGCCCUCAGAAUCUACUGGCUGAAUGAGUGCGUGGAGGAAAUGUGCUCAGAGCUGCUGUGUGUCAUCCUGUGUUUGAAGUGCUCCUGCAGCUAUCAUUCAUCCAGUUAAGAAUUUGAAGAAGUGUGUGCACAAAGACGGAGUCUCACUCUGUUGCCCAGGCUGGAGUGCAGUGGCACAAUCUCGGCUCACUGCAACCUCUACCUCCUGGAUUCAAGCGGUUUUCCUGCCUCAGCCUCCAGAGUAACAGGGAUUACAGGCAUACUCCACCUUGCCCUGCUGAUUUUGUAUUUUUAGUAGAGACAAGAGUUUCACCAUGUUGGCCAGGCUGGUCUUGAACUCCUGACCUCAAGUGAUCCACUGCCUCAGCCUCCCAAAGUGCUGGGAUUAUAGGCGUGAGCCACUGCGCCUGGCCAAAUGCUCUACUUUUUAAUCAAUGUUUUCCAAAAUAGGGAUUUUUGCUAUGUGCUUUAGAAAUUAGAGAACAAACGGUGAUAAUAUAUGCUAAACUUAAAAUUAGUAUGCCUCCUUUUAUAGACAACAAGAACUUUGUCACUUCCCAGUUUGUCUUGUCAUUCAGGAGGCUCAGAGCUACGAUCUGUGCCCACUCGUGCUGCCUCUUCUUAACUUUGAUUUCCUGAAGCAGCGAUUUCAUCUCCGUUUCCCCUCAUCACCUGUUCUUUUAACUGUUUAAAAACAGCAUUACAUGUUGUUGCAAGUGGCCUCAAAUUCUUUUUGGUAGAAGGGAAAUUGUAAUCCAUGAGAAGAAAAAAAUUUUCCUAACUAUUCUCAGGUGUGUUUAAGGGCUGCAUUCCAUGAUGCUAUCAGUGCCUUCUUUCAGCUCACAGGAUAUCGGCCAUGUUAAUGAGUCUGAUGUUGCUAGUAUCACAGGCACCGGAAAAUAUGCACAUUAUGCUGGAGCAUUAGAAUGCAACAGAAAGAGCCCUGGGCUUGGAGUAUGCAGAACUGGUUCUUGUUACAACUCCUCUUACUAGUGGGCUCUGGAAGAAAACACAUUGAAUUCAUGAUCAUGGUUAACCUUUGGAGAGAGAGAGGAGACCAGGAUGAAGGAGCCAGUCGAAGAUCCUGUUCAAGUGUACACUGAGCCAGCAGGUUCACCAGAAAGCUAUUGAGCGUUUGCUGGAACACAUUAUGCAGGGUGAAUUUCUUCUGGAAUGUUGCCAAGGAUUUUUUAUGCUUCUGUGGCAGGCAUUUCUUGAACAUUGUCAUUUAGCCAAGCAAAGAAGAUUUUCUUAAAGGAUAGAAAAUGUUUAAAAAUUUUUGUUUGUUUGAAGAUAGGUUAAAUGGCUAUAUGAUCUCAGGAUAAGACAGAGAAAAUCACUUAUUUCUCUAAGUGAUCUGAUUAGGUUAGUGAUGUUUUGCCUUUAAACAGAUUCAUCAUUAUUCCUAAAGUAUUGCUGUAUUAAUACUGUCUUCUAGAAAGUAUCCACCAGUGCCUACUUUUCUUCGAUAUCAUUAGCUGUUUUUCGAAACUGAAUUUGCUCUUCAGAGAUUUCUCAUAUGUUUGCGUAUAAGGAACUACUGGUAAUAGCCAAGAAAAUUUGGAGGUGCAGAGAACAUGCUGAAACAGAAUUUUUCACUUUCAAUUCUAGAACUAUGCCAUAAAAAAAAAGGAAAAUGUAAAAAUGUCUUUAUAUUAGAGCAGAUAUUUUAAAAGUAUUGCAAAUUCAAUGAUAAAUUCUAAGGUUAAAAUUGGACACAUAAAAAAUACAAUAUAUAAAUAUCUCCCCAGAAAUUAUUAUCUAAUGAAUAGUAAAAGCUGACUACAAACCAUGUCAUUUUAACAAGGGUUUAAAUAGUACCAAGAUUCUCAUCAUAUGCUCUGGGAUACCCAGUGAUGUACAAGGGUUCUCUCUAAACAUGGGGAGGAAAAAUUUCAAAUAUAAAGAUUUGAAUCUUGUCUUUGCCAUUCACUAGCUGUGUGAUCUUGGGUAAGUUACCUGGUUUCUCUGAGCUUCAGUGUCAUCUGUAAAACAGGAAUAAUAAUACCUAGCUCAGAGGCGGGUGUGGUGGCUCACGCCUGUAAUCCCAGCACUUUGGGAGGCCAAGGCAGGUGGAUCACUAGGUCAGGAGUUUGAGACCAGCCUGGCCAAGAUGGUGAAAUCCUGUCUCUACUUAAAAAAAAAAAAAAAUAGCCAGGCAUGGUGGCAGGCACCUGUGAUCCCAGCUACUCAGGAGGCUGAGGCAGGAGAAUCGCUUGAACCCGGGAGGCGGAGGUUGCAGUCAGCUGAGAUCUCGCCACUGCACUCCAGCCUGGGCAAUAGAGUGAGACUCCGCCUCAAAUAAAUAGGUAAAUAAAUAAAUAAAUAAAUAAAAGUAAAUAAAUAAAUAAAUAAAUAAUAAUACCUAGCUUAUGGGGCUGCUGUGGGUGUUUGUAAAGUAUCUCAAUGGUGCCUACAUAUUGUAAAGGCUUAUGAAUAUAUUAGUUCCUUUCUCAACUUCCUCAAUUCAUUCCACCACUACAAGUCAAUCUAGAGAUUAAAAUAGGCAAAACUGUGAUCUACGUUAGGAUGGGGUUGUUUGAGUGGUGGUUUAUUUCUGACUGCUUCAUUUUAUACUUGUAUUUUAAAUAUACAAGUUUUUGUAAACAUUCCUAAAACAAAACAGAUCUGUUUUUAUUUUGAAGAAGAUCGGACAGAUUCUGAUAUAAUGUUUGGAGAACUAAAUUAUACACAGAAUUUUGUCUCUGAAGAGUUAACUCUAUCAUGAAAAUGCACUCAGUGAAAAGCAAACAUCAUGCCACCUUUCCAUACACGGUAUUAUGUGUAUUUGAAUGAACGCAUAUGGAAAAACAUGGCAAUUCUUCUUUUAUGCCUAAAUCCUAUGGAAUUUGCCGGCUCCUGUAUUUAAGUCUGGGCUGUGAUGGUAAACUUGGUUCCUGUCAACUGAGUGUUGUUAUGUCUUUGGCACAUUCCCACAGCCGAACCUCCCGUCUGUAACCUGCACCUGCAGUUCACAGGAUUCAGCUCGGAGAGCUCUGUACUUCCGGGCCACUCAGGUACUUGUUAGUGCAGACUGUAAGUUUCUACCCCACAGUUUCUCCACCAGUUUAGAUACUGCAAACAUUUGGGUUUUGCAGUUUCUGCAAUUUUUGUUUGGGUUCUUUAAAAACAGCUCUUCCCCCACCCCUGGCACACCACCAUCUCUCCAAGGCACUCAUUGUGAGAUGGGAAGCCUGGCGCCUGUCGUUUGUAUUCCAGAUCGAAACUAGCAGAAUUGAGAUUUUCCUCCCUUUUUAGUGCCAUGACAAACAAAAGAGGAUAUGACAUGUAUUUAUUGUUUGGUAAAAUGCAGAAGUAUCAAUUCCAGGAGACGCUGCAAUUCCUUCAUCUUUGCCUUGAGUUGUUUAUGUGAACUAUGGCCCUGUUUGUAGGAGACAGAGAGAAAGUAUGAAUUUGGUGGGAAUGACGGGGGUUGGGGGGUGGGGGGUGGGGAGGAGGAGGUGGUGUGGGAAAACAACUCUCUCUUUUGCCAUGAGGAUCCAAUUCCUGGAAAGAGCACGGUUAAUGGCAAAUAAAAUUUCCUGGUCUUUGGGGCCAAGAUUUGUGUUGUGUGAGUGUGCUUUAUAAGCCUGUCACUGUUAGAUGCAGGCUUAUGCUUUUACGGCUGUCUUUAGCUUUAGCUUUUGUGGUUCUUCCGCCUGUACAGUAUGCUCUUCCAAGGCAACUGUGGCUCAUUGAGAGACCAGGCUAAAGCAGAAUAGAGCAGAUAAACAAAUUCAUAGGAGUCAAUAAUUUAAUUUUUUUAAUUUUUUUUUUUUUGAGAUGGGGCCUUGUUCUGUUGUGGAGGCGGGAGUACAGUGGCAUGAGCACGGUUCACUGCAGCCUUGACCUCUGGGCUCAAGCAAUCCUUACACCUCAGGACCCCACACUCAGCCCCCCGAGUAGUUGGGACUACAGGUGCGCAUCACCACACCUAGCUAAGUUUUAAAAUUUUUUGUAGAAUCCACAUCUCCCUAUGUUGCCCAGGCUGGUCUCAAACUCCUGAGCUCAAGUGAUCCUCUGGCCUCAGCUUCCCAAAGUUCUGGGAUUACAGGCAUGAGCCACUGCACCCAGCCACAAUUUAAUUUCUUUAAAAAACCAUUUCAAAAGACAAUGGCAGAAAAACAUGUGGCCAAAACAGCACCUACCCUUAAACGGACUCUUGAUUGAGGGGUGGAGCUGGAGGCAGAUGUAAUACAUCAAUAGGGGUUCUUAAAUAUUCUAAAAUAAUUAUUGGAAAGAUAGUACUGAGGAGGCAUGGGUCAGUCUGAUGCUUCUUGAUCACACUGAGGCUUGAGUUAAGGUCUAGGGAGUUUUCAGCACGGGCAUCAGAAUUUCUUUUUGAUCCCUCUUCUCCUUUACAGUGGUUUGAGAUAUGUCUUCUUCGUGAUGCUUGUGUGAGAGUAAAGGAGGACUCCAAACAAACAAAUGCAGGAAAUGAAUGUGUAGAGGAAGAAGUCAGGUGAUGCUGGUGUCCUGGGGACCACUCCACGGAAGGAGAAGACACUGGGAAUAGAAGACCUUUGAAAAUCGUGAUGGGCUUAAAGAUCCCAGCGCAGGUCCCACCACUUAUUCGCUCUCACCUGGCAUCUCAAUCUCUGCAUCUGUAAAAAUGAAGAAAAUAAUCCAUCUCCCUGGAUGACUUCAUGAGAUUUUUUGUAGUCAUCAGUGAGGUACUGUACAUAGACGUGCUGUAAGGACGAAAAGUUCUUCACAAUAGGAUGCAUGGGAAAGCAAGCAGGGAGCAGUGGAGGAGGCUGAACCCAGAACGUGGGCUGAGGAUGCUGGGAGGGAACAGGGUUGGGGGCUGAAUCCUAACAGGAGGAAGCUACUGAGCUGCUUCUGUAAGUUGGGCCUGGAUGGAAACCCUGGAAGCAGUAACUCCAAGAAAGAUUCAAAAGUGGGACAAGAAGAGCAAGAACCAGGAAUGGAAAAACUCCAAGGAACAUGAGUGAAGAGGUAGGUGCUGCAGAGGAGCCCUGGUUGGGGUGUCUAAGUCAGGGAUUCCUGCCCCAGCUCUGACCUGAACAGGUUCUUUGACCUUGAACACAUGGCUUCCACUUUCUGGGCUUUGGUCUUCUCCUCUGUGAAAAUGAUAAAGUUGGCCUAGAUGAACCCCACAGCACCAACUAGGAAUGGCAAAUAGUGCUAUGUCUUAGCCCAGGUCCAGGGCUGUGUGGAAGUGAUAUGGGAGGGGUACAGGGAUGGGUAGAGAAAGGCAGGGUCCCUGACAAGGGCUCCACCCUUGUGCCUGAGCCCACGGACCUAGGUGAGGACAGGCACUCCUGUUUCCUUGCCCAAAUGUUGCAUUUUCCAAGUCCACCCUGGCCCGUCACGCCCCCAAUCCUGUGCCUAUAAAAACCCCAAGACCUUAGCGGGCACAUACACUAAUAGCUGGACAUCAAGAGGAACACACUGGCAGAAGCACACACAAGUGGCUGGACAUCGACAGGAACACACUGGCAGAAGAACACAUAGACGCUGACAGACCAUCAACAGCAGAAUGACGCAGAGGGUGGUCGGAGGAGAGCCUGGCUGCUGAGCGGCCCGACUCCAGGGGAAGACCACCUUCCCACUCCAUCCCCCUUCUGACUCCCCAUCUAUCUGCUGAGAGCCACCUCCAGCAUUCAAUAAAACCUUGCACUCAUUCUCUAAGCCCACACAUGAUACAAUUUUUCUGGUGCACUAGGGCAAGAACCCGGGAUACAGAAAGCCCUCUGCCCUUGUGAUAACGCAGAGGGUCUAACUGAGGUGAUGAACACAAGCUGCCGGCAGAUAGCAAAGCUGAAAGAGCGCACUGUAACACACGCCCACUGGGGCUUAGGAGCUGUAAAGACUCAACCCUAGAUGCUGCUGUGGGGUUGGAACCCACGCUCCCCGUGACCUGCCCAUCUGCCUGCUCCCACUAGGGGUCUGAGUAGCAGGCACCGAAGAAGUGAGCCACGCCCUCUUCACACACCCUUUGAGGAGGACAAGGGAACUUUUCCUGUUUCAGAAAGUUGUGUUGAGAAGAAUGGCAAGGCUAACAGGGCAGGUGUCCGGGCGGAGGGGCGGAACUGGCUGUUGGCAUGUGGUGGGGGAGAUGCUUCAUCCGGGUCUUGCAUUUGUUCCCUCUGACACCAGCCUCGAAAAAACAGGACACUCACAGUUCAGGAAACUACCAAGGGUCCAAGGAGAGGCCUUGCUUGGCCGUGGUGUGGUCCUGCAACUCCAGGGCAGACCUAGACUCAUGGGAAAGUCCCUGCUUUGUGAUGAGGCUGAAAGAGGAUGAGUGGGGAGUGGCCGGAAGAAGAAAGGGUGUAACCAGAGACCAGUGUCAACAAGGAAUCUGGCUUGGAACGCUUUUGUCUGCAGCCCUCUUUGGAGCGUGACUUGCUCUUUCAGAGGUCUGUAUUUCUCUACCUGGACUACCCUGAGAGCUAACCCCAGUUAUUGGUCUGGAAGCAACGAAUGAAGGCCGGGGCAGAGCUUGAGGAGGGCAACAUCAUUUUGUCACAGUCGCCAUCAAGAAUCUAGUUGCAGACUGGGCGCUGUGGCUCACGCCUGUAAUCCCUGCACUUUGGGAGCCAAGGUGGGUGGAUCACUGGAGCCCAGGAGCUCAAGAGCAGCCUGGGCAACGUGGUGAAAGCCCAUUUCUACAAAAAAAUGCAAAAAUUAGCAGAGUGUGUUGGUGCAUGCCUGUGGUCUCAGCUACUCGGGAGGCUGAGAUGGGACGAUUGCUUGGGCCUGGGAGGUCAAGGCUGCAGUGAGCUGUGAUCACACCACUGCACUCCAGCCUGAGUGACACAGCAAGAACCUGUCUGAGAAAAAAAAAAUCUUGUUUCACCUAGAUCUGAAGAAGAAAACAGAAGCAACAUUCAAAUUAACAUCAGUCAACUGAUGGAAUAUUUUAGAUGAAGUAAGAGAAGCCAAGGCAUGUACCCUCAGGCUCUGGGCUUCUCCCUGCAAGGUUGGGAAGAAAUUUGGAGGAGGCAAAGUGGGAGCAAGUCAGAUGGAAGAGACAUUAUGGGUCAGGUGGGUGAGAACUGUGGGAGGGAGGUUCAGGGUGCUCCAUUUAGCAGGUUUUUCAUAGUGCCUGUGCAGUCCAGGGCUCUGAUUUCUGUAAGCAGAACGAUGUCAUUCAUUCUUUUAUUCAUCUAUUUGUUAAGUCAACAUUUAUUGAGAGUCUCUUAUGCUACUCACUGUGCUAGGUGGUAGGGCUCAAAGAUGAAUAAAACGCUGUUUCCUUUUUUUUCAGAAAUUCAUAGUGUAGUGGGAGGUGGACCAAAAUGCCAUUGACUUGAUUGCCUGACACUGACAGGUGCUGAAAUAGAGGAAUAUACGGGAUGCCAUGGGAGGCCAGAUGAAGUGAAAAACCCACUCUUACUGGUGUGUGUGCACACACAGGAGGAGUUACGCAAUGCCUUGUCUGGUUUCCUGUCCUGGCACAUUUCCAUUGCUUAUUUCUAGAGCCACUUGACCGUAAUAGCUGGUCAGGGAUAAUGUAAAGAAUCUUCAUUUGGCAGCUCUGAGGACUGCCCAGUCAACCUUCCCUUCUGUCCUCAGCACAUAUACCUAGUUUCUUACUCGCUUUUGUGACUCAUCUCCUCUUGUACCCUAGACAUCUUUUCUAUUUUUAUACCUCUUGCACCCUCAAAGAUCCCUUGAGACUCUCUUGCCUAAACCUCUUUUAGGCAAAUCCUACCUCCUUUUCUCUAUACCUGCUUUGAGAGAAGGGGAAAAUGUCUUAAUAUAUGCACUAAUUAGGCCCCUUGAUGGUCUAAUUUCAGCCUUACAUUGUUUCGUUUUGUAAAUGAGCCCCAGGGAAGUUAAGUAAUUUGUCCAAAUUCACACAACUAGAAAAGACAAAAGCAGGACAUUGAAUGUAGAGCCAAUAUUCAGAGUACCUGAUUUUAGACCCAGUAUUCAAAGCACCGACUGCUAUGGUCUGAAUGUGUUCCCUCCAGAUUCAUGUGUUGAAAUCCUAACCCCCAAGUUGAUACUAUUAGGAGGUGGGACCUUUUCAGAUGCGACUGGGUCAUGAGUGUGCAGCCCGCAUGAUUGGGAUUAGUGCCCUGUCAAAUAGGAGAGACUGCAGAGAGCUAGCUAGCUCCUUUUCACCAUGUGAGGGCACAGUGAGACAGCCCUGUCUAUGAGGAAGUGGCUCUCACCAGACACUGUUGGCACCUUGACCUUGGACUUCUCAGCCUCUAGAACUGUCAGAAAUAAAUAAAUUUCUGUUGUUUAUAAGUGACGGAGUCUAAGAUAUUUUGUUAAUAGCAACCUGAAGGGACUAAGACAUUUACCAAAACCUUAAAGGCUCCCAGAUAAUCACCUCUAAAACACUCAGUCACAACAUUUUUCUAUUCAAAGUCUCCAGGGAGAAAAGACAAAGCACUACAAAGACUGCCUUGUAGUAUUACAAUCUCUUCACUUUUUCUAUCAAAUGUCCUGUUCCCCCUGUGCACCUAGAGACUCACAAGGCAUUUAACAUCUCUGCCUUGUGAGCCUAGAGGUACAUGAGGGGCAGAACCUUUGAUAGAAAAAGUAUGUGCAUGCGCACACACAGACAUAUAUAUAUACACACACACGUAUAUUUCUGCUUAGUAGAUACCACCAAACAAUUUUCCAAAGUGAUUGCACCAGUUUACAUUUCCACCAGCAGCAUAGGCAGUAAUUAUCCUCUUCAACAUUUGGUAUUGUCAGUCUUUUGAAUUUUAGCCAUUCUGGUGAGUUUGUAAUAAAAUAUCAUUGAGGCAUUAAUUACAUUUACCUGAUUAUUAAUGAGAAUGAGCACUACUUUAAUAAGUAUAAUAUUUUCCAUAGGUUUUUUGAAGACAUUGUCUCUCAGAUUAGAGAUGGUCAAGGCCAUACAGUUUCUUUUAGCACAGCUUUAGCUACAUCAAACGAAUUUUGAUUUGUCAUAUUUUCAUGAUUAUUCUGUUCAAAAUGUUUUCUAACUUCCCACUGUGAUUUCCUCUCUGAAUCUAUAGGUUUAGUUAGAAGUAAAGUUAGAAGUUAGUUUGAAACUUCCAAACAUAUGGCUACUUUGUGAAUAUAGUUUUGUUAUUGAUUUCUAGCUCAAUUCCCCUGUGGUCAGGUAACAUACUCUGAUUUCAGUUCUUGAAAUUUGUUGAGACUUGCUUAAUGGCCCAGCAUUUUGUAAUUUUGGUGUAUGAACUAAGUGUGUAUUCUGCAGAUGUUGGGUGCAGUAUUCUAUGAAGACCGAUUAAGUCAAGUUUACAAAUGUAUACUCCUGUAAAUGUAAACUGAUUUUUGUCUUAUUAUUCUAUUAGAUCUCAGAGAGAGUAAUAAAAUUUGAAUCUAUGCUAUUAGUUACAUGUAAAUUUAGAAUUGUUGUAUGUUCUUGACAAAUCUAAUUUUCAUCAUCAUGAGGUCACUUUCUUUGUCUUUAGGAAUGCUUUUAACCUUAGUGUCUAGUUUGACAUUAUUGUUAAAUCUUUGAGAAUUCUGAUAUUUUAGUCUUGUGUUUUGUAAGUAGCAUAUCAAAUUCAGUGUUAUUCGAGAUAACAACCUUUGUCUUUUAAUCACUGAAUUUAAAUAUUUACAUGUUAUGUAAUUUGUGAUAUUUUGGGGUUUAAAUCUACCAUUUUGCUCAGCUUUUCAAUUUGUACUGCUUGUUCUAUGUUCCAUUUUUUUCAUUUCUUGCCUUCAUUUGCAUUGAUUGAAAAUUUUUAAAAGUUAUUUGAGUCCUAUAAAUUCUUGUGGUGAUUACACCAAAUAUUGCAAUAUGUAUAUCUGACAUAAAAAUAAAAUAUCAUUUGGUUGUUUUUUCUCUUCUGGGGAAUGCAUGUACUGUAAAACACUAUCACUCUGUCUCUCCUGACUUAAUGCUUUUUCAGUGUAUUAUAAUUUUCUAUAUAAUUCUCCACAAGAUUUUACUUUUGGUUUUAUAUAGUCAAUAUUCAUUUGUAGUUAUCAUGCCUUUCUGCAUUUCUGACUUUCUACCUGAAACCUUUUCCUUUUGCCUGAAGACAGAUUUAUAUAUACGUAGAUAAAUAAAUUCAAGUCUACUGGGGAUGAACUCUCCCAGUUUUGGUUUGUCUGAACAUGUCUCUUUUUACUUUCAUUCUUGACAUAUAUUUAUAUCUUGAGAGCAGAAUUCAGGGUUGGCAGUAAUUUUUUUUCAGCAUUUUGGAGCUAUUGUUCCAUUGUCUUUUGGCUCAGAAUGUUGCUGUUGAGGAAUAAGCUGUGAGUCUGAUUAUUGUUCCAUUGAUGGCAAUCUUUUUCUCUGGUUGUGUUGAAGAUAAUUUCUUCGUUCAUUUUUUUGUUUUUAAAUUUAACUAGUUUUUGAUUUCCUGAAUCCAUCAAUUGAUGUAUUUAAUUAGUUUUAGAAAUGAUUCAGCUGAUUACUCGUAAAUGAUGUUUCUGUUCCAUUACCUCUCUUCGUUUAGUAUUUCAGUUAAAUAUAUAUCAGAACUUUUCAUGGAUCUUUUAUAUCAGUGUCAUGAUUUGGAAAAAGAGAAGUACAAAAUUGAGAAUAAAUAUUCUGAAACCAACUGGCAGAGUAAUUUUAUGUCCUUUGAAUCCAAUAAAAAUUUGGGCAUAUAUUCAGUGUCUUUUUAUUAUUUCAUUGUUCUAAUAAUUCAUUUAAAUUACAUUUUACAAAGAUAUCAUUUUAUGACAUUUUGGAUUUUUUUUUAAGUUUGGAAAGUGCUUUACCAGCUUCCUUAACCUUCUUAUAAUUUUUUUUUAGCUUUGUCUUUUAGCUUUGUAGUAUGGAUAUUUUCUUCCAUACUACAAAUUCUCUCUUCAUCUGUUUGUAAUUAAAUGUGAAAGCUAUUGUGUUUUAAUUGUUAUUUUUUUAAUUCUAGCAUUUUCACUGGCUCUUUUAAAAAAUUAGUUUUCAGUUCUCCGCCAAAAGUCUCAAGGUUGACUUUUGUCUCUCUGAGCAAAUUAAAUAUAGUAUUAUUUGAAGUCAAUACACUUUUUUUUUUAAGUUGAAAAACUCUAAUUUCUGAGCCUUUGUGAUCUAUGUCUGUGAUUUCUUGGUUUUCAUUUGUGUGGUCUUGUCUUGUUUUUCUGUUUUUCUUUUAUUGUAUUCAGAUAUUUGUACUUAAAACAUUAUUUGUAGACAUAAUUAGAAUUCUAUAAUGAUGUUGUCAUUCUCCAAAGUGAAUUUAUAUUUACUUCUGCUAGGUACUUGGGGCCUUAGCAUUAUGGGAUCAUGUUAAUUCAAUUCCAGGUACUGUGAAACUGAGUUUCUAGAACCUUCUUUUGGUUUAUCAUUGUUUUUAGGGUACUGUCCUUCAGUGGCCCAUCCAAAUGCAAAGAGAUUCACCAGAGCUAUCCAGGCUUGGUGAUGCUGGGCCCCAAAAUUGGCCUUAGCUCUGUGAGACACUUUUUAACCACCUUCCCGCUCAGCCACUUGGCCUCUCAGUCCUGCUUUUAGAAAUUGGCAUAUGCUUCUAGGCACAGUGACUCACACCUGUAACCUCAGCACUUUGGGAGGCUGAGGCGGGUGGAUCACUUGAGGUCAGGAGCUCGAGACCAGCCUGGCCAACAUGGUGGCUGUCUCUACUAAAAAUACAAAAAAUUAGCCGGGUGCGGUAGUGCAUGCCUAUAAUCCCAGCUGCUUGGGAGGCUGAGGCAGGAGGGUCACUUGAACCCGGUAGGCAGAGAUUACAGUGAGCCGAGAUCGUGCCACUGCAUUCCAGCCUGGGCAACAGAGUGAGACCCUGUCUCAAAAAAAAAAAAAAAAGAAAAGAAAAGAAAAAAGAAAUUGGCAUAUACCGUAUUGGCAUAUACUGUAGAGAAAACUGCCCUACAUGCCGGACUCAACUCCCUUGGUCUCUAUCCUUUACCUGAUACUAACCCAGUAAUUCUGCACUAUCUUGUUAGCUCUCUAGCACACCGGAGUAGAUUUUUAAAGUAUAUUUUGUUUUGCUGAUUGUCCUCAGUAGGUGGGAUGGUAUGAAUUACCUAGUUCUCCAUUCCUAGAACAGGAAGUCUUAUAUAAUCUAGGUUUAACCAAAUAUCUCCAUUAAUGAGUAAGUGAUUAUGAAAAUAUUUUUAAAAAGAGGUUGAUUCUGGAGAUUUCCCUAAUAAUACAAAUUUAAUUGAACAACAAGAAAGGGCAGGGCUGACAUUUUUCUAGCCCCUUAUAUAAGUACUUCUUUAGUUACAUUACCAGAGAAAGCCAUGAACAAAAUAAUUUGGCCAAAAAAUUGUGAAAUUAUUCAGAUAAAUGUGAUCUUUUAACAAUAAAUGAGGAAGUAACCAUGUUUAAUGCUAUGAGUAGAGCAUUUUGAAAAUGGAUAUUUGGGAAAUCUCCAAUAGUUAUGUAUUUUUAUUGCCAAAAAUGCAGUGAAUAUGCCUCUUUAAAAACUCUCGUAUCUACAUACUUGGAAAUGGAAUUUUUAACCUUUUAAAAAUGAUAAAUAAACAGUUCUAGGGGACUUUGAAUCAACUUUUUUAAAGUUUGUAUUAACAAGUAGUUGACAUUAGGGAAGAUAAAAAUUUACUAUCCAAUUUUUAUUGGAAACUUUAAUUGAUGGAUAGGGUUGAAAAACAAGUAUCAUACUUUAGUGAGAUAAGCAAUAAAGUUCUUUUCUUGUUUUAAUUAAAGUAUUUUGGAAGUAUCUUUUCCAUGUCUGAUAACUAUUAAAACCAAGCACCAGGCCAGGCAUGGUGGCUCACGCCUAUAAUCCCAGCACUUUGGGAGGCUGAGGCGGGUGGAUCAAGAGGUCAAGAGGUAGAGACCAUCCUGGCCAACAUGGUGAAACCCCGUCUCUACUAAAAAUACAAAAAUUAGCUGGGCGUGGUGGUGCGUGCCUGCAGUCCCAGCUACGCAGGAGGCUGAGGCAAGAGAAUAGCUUGAACUUGGGAGGUGGAGGUUGCAGUGAGCCAAGAUCACACCACUGCAUUCCGGCCUGGCGACAGUGAGACUGUCUCAAAAACAAAAAACAAAAAAAACAAAAACAAAAAAAACCAAGCACCAAAAGAAAUGAAUGUAAAAUCAGACCUUUUAUUCAUAGAGGUUUAAAUAGUGAAGCAUAUUCAAUCACACAGCUCUCAUCAAAAUAUUAUUAAUGAGAAUUUCAAAGGUAAGCGCAAAAUAGUUUUUGCAUCAUUAAUAACAUUAUAAAAAUGUGAAAUAUUUUAUAUUUCAACUUUCAUCAUUUUACUUUUUCUAUAUAUUAUAUAUACUGUGUUUUCUAUAUGUUAAGUGUACAAUGUCUAUAUUAUAUAUACAUAUAUAAAAUUUAAAACUGAAUAAAAUAUAUACAUUUUAGGAAUGCUUACUCAAAAGUUUUUAUUGGUUAGUCCCAAAAAUUUGGUGACCAUUAUUUAGGGUUGCCUCUGGAAAGUUGCCUUCUAAGUUUUACCAGUUUGGAUAAGUGGUCUCUACCCGCUACCCUCACCCCAUUUUCCUCCCACUGAACUCUGUUUAUAUUGUUCAUAGUACUUAUCACAAACUAUAAUUAUAUAUGUAUUUGUUUGUUUACUUAUUUAUUAGAUUAUGAGCUCCAGGAUGGUAAGGGUUAUGUUUGUUUCUUUUUUUUGUUUUUGAGACGGAGUCUCGCUCUGUCGCCCAGGCUGGAGUGCAGUGGCGCAAACUCGGCUCAUUGCAAGCUCCGCCUCCCGGGUUCAUGCCAUUCUCCUGCCUCAGCCUCUGGAGUAGCUGGGACUACAGGCGCCCACCAUCACGCUUGGCUAAUUUUGUUUGUAUUUUUUAGUAGAGAUGGG